CCCGCUGAACUUAAGCAUAUCACUAAGCGGAGGAAAAGAAAUUAACUAAGAUUGCCUCAGUAACGGCGAGUGAAGCGGCAAAGCCCAAACUGGAAAUCCCCGUACAUCCGUGCGGUGAAUUGUAAUCUAGAGGACUUAAUCUCAACUGGACGCGACGCAGAACUUCCCAGGAAUGGGGGGCCAGAGAGGGUGACAGCCCCGUAUGUGGUGUCGCUUCCUAACGAGAUGGGUUCCAGGAGUCGGGUUGUUUUGAAUUGCAGCCCUAAUGUGGGGGAUAGACUUCCUCCAAGGCUAAAUAUUUACGGGAAACCGAUAGCGAACAAGUACUGUGAAGGAAAGAUGAAAAGAACUUUGAAAAGAGAGUUAGAAGACUUGAAAUCGUUGAGAAGGAAGCGGUAGAAAUUUAUUCUUCUGGUGUUAACAAAGUGUUCUCCAUUCGUAUUGUGGCCUCCCAGUACGUCAAAGGCUGGUGGCACCACGUGCGGUUGAGAUUGCGGCGUUUGCACCAGUGAGGCAAGAUGGGGUUCCGCUCCCACAUAAGCUGCUCGAGCCUGGCUUCACCGCAGUUCGGGUGUGUUAGUGGGCGCGGUGCCUGAGGAUGCCUUGUGCGAUCUUGCCAAAAUGGUUUUUACCGACCCGUCUUGAAACACGG
RNAcentral lists this ribosomal RNA (652 nucleotides) under uncultured fungus. RNAcentral describes it as "eukaryotic LSU rRNA". It matches the Rfam family "Eukaryotic large subunit ribosomal RNA", at positions 24 to 664 of the family's 3401-position model. Lineage: Eukaryota; Fungi. The record is from RNAcentral.